Molecule: ribosomal RNA, 625 nt
Filed under: Aeromicrobium halotolerans
Lineage: Bacteria; Bacillati; Actinomycetota; Actinomycetes; Propionibacteriales; Nocardioidaceae
Description: bacterial SSU rRNA
Source: RNAcentral
AGUAACACGUGAGCAACCUGCMCUUCUCUUUGGGAUAACCAGUGGAAACGCUGGCUAAUACCGAAUAUGACCGCCUUGGGCAUCCGGGGUGGUGGAAAGUUCCGGCGGAGAAGGAUGGGCUCGCGGCCUAUCAGCUUGUUGGUGAGGUAAUGGCUCACCAAGGCGACGACGGGUAGCCGGCCUGAGAGGGUGACCGGCCACACUGGGACUGAGACACGGCCCAGACUCCUACGGGAGGCAGCAGUGGGGAAUAUUGGACAAUGGGCGAAAGCCUGAUCCAGCAACGCCGCGUGAGGGAUGACGGCCUUCGGGUUGUAAACCUCUUUCAGCACCGACGAAGCGAAAGUGACGGUAGGUGCAGAAGAAGGACCGGCCAACUACGUGCCAGCAGCCGCGGUAAUACGUAGGGUCCGAGCGUUGUCCGGAAUUAUUGGGCGUAAAGGGCUCGUAGGCGGUCUGUCGCGUCGGGAGUGAAAACUCGGGGCUUAACCCCGAGCGUGCUUCCGAUACGGGCAGACUAGAGGGAUGCAGGGGAGAAUGGAAUUCCUGGUGUAGCGGUGGAAUGCGCAGAUAUCAGGAGGAACACCGGUGGCGAAGGCGGUUCUCUGGGCAUUUCCUGACGCUG